UAUUAUAAUACAAUGAAUUUAAUUGAUUAUAACCGCUAGAAAUGGAUAAAGAAUGUAUAGAAGUGUGAAGAAAGACUUGUUGAAAUUUGGUCCCAAAUGGGAUAAGAACCCACAACCAUUGCUUUGAAGCAGUAAAUGGCUUGUCUAGAGUUGUUUUAGGUUAGAACAUGUUAUAAUACAAUGAAUUUGAUUGAUUACAAGUGCUAGAGAUGGAUGAAGAACGUUUAGAAGU
RNAcentral lists this long non-coding RNA (232 nucleotides) under Capsella rubella. RNAcentral describes it as "long non-coding RNA (CRUB_LNC000394)". The record is from RNAcentral. Lineage: Eukaryota; Viridiplantae; Streptophyta; Magnoliopsida; Brassicales; Brassicaceae.